CGGGAGGCAGCAGUGAGGAAUAUUGGACAAUGGAUGGAAAUCUGAUCCAGCCAUGCCGCGUGCAGGAAGACGGCCCUAUGGGUUGUAAACUGCUUUUAUACGGGAGCAAUAAGGUCUACGUGUAGACUGAUGAGAGUACCGUAUGAAUAAGCAUCGGCUAACUCCGUGCCAGCAGCCGCGGUAAUACGGAGGAUGCGAGCGUUAUCCGGAUUUAUUGGGUUUAAAGGGUGCGUAGGCGGCCUUGUAAGUCAGCGGUGAAAUUUUGCAGCUUAACUGUAAAAGUGCCGUUGAUACUGUGAGGCUAGGAUUUGGUUGCUGUGGGUGGAAUGUGUGGUGUAGCGGUGAAAUGCUUAGAGAUCACACAGAAUAUCGAUUGCGAAGGCAGCUCACAAAGCCAAGAUUGAUCGCUGAGGCACGAAAUGUGUGGGGAUCAAAGCAGGAUUAGAUAUCCCUGGUAGUCCACCAUCUGUAAAACGAUGAUAA
This 483-nucleotide ribosomal RNA is filed under the name uncultured bacterium. RNAcentral's name for it is "bacterial SSU rRNA". It matches the Rfam family "Bacterial small subunit ribosomal RNA", at positions 342 to 815 of the family's 1533-position model. The record is from RNAcentral.